AAAAACAAUUUAAAUACAAAAACACAAGCAGGUUCCCCUCCUCUCUUUUGCCUUUUGGUCUGGCUCUCCCUCCCUUUGGGCUGGUGCCCGACUGAAUGGAAAACCCGUCAUCUUGCAGGCACUAACCUGUGAGCACCGGGUACCUGGAGACCAGGCCCCCUCUGCUGGGGGUCCCCCAGGAGCUGUGCCCCAUCAUUCUGCAGCCCACUGACUCCCAGCCUGGUAAGUUACUGAACACUGUGAG
RNAcentral lists this long non-coding RNA (244 nucleotides) under Lynx pardinus (Iberian lynx). The record is from RNAcentral. Lineage: Eukaryota; Metazoa; Chordata; Mammalia; Carnivora; Felidae.